This 304-nucleotide ribosomal RNA is filed under the name uncultured bacterium. RNAcentral's name for it is "partial 16S ribosomal RNA". It matches the Rfam family "Bacterial small subunit ribosomal RNA", at positions 506 to 807 of the family's 1533-position model. The record is from RNAcentral.
CAGCAGUAGCCGCGGUAAUACCGAGGGUGCAAGCGUUAAUCGGAAUUACUGGGCGUAAAGCGCGCGUAGGUGGUUUGUUAAGUUGGAUGUGAAAUCCCCGGGCUCAACCUGGGAACUGCAUCCAAAACUGGCAAGCUAGAGUAUGGUAGAGGGUGGUGGAAUUUCCUGUGUAGCGGUGAAAUGCGUAGAUAUAGGAAGGAACACCAGUGGCGAAGGCGACCACCUGGACUGAUACUGACACUGAGGUGCGAAAGCGUGGGGAGCAAACAGGAUUAGAUACCCCCGUAGUCCCUGUCUCUUAUAC